AUACUAUGAUAGUUGCACAGUUCAGCAGAUUGACUGCUGAAGAGAUAUGCCAUUUGUCUGAUGUGAGU
Artibeus jamaicensis (Jamaican fruit-eating bat) is the source of this 68-nucleotide small nucleolar RNA. RefSeq annotates it as small nucleolar RNA SNORD77. The transcript has a single exon. The record is from RefSeq and is a predicted model, not a curated record. NCBI's taxonomy places the organism in Eukaryota, Metazoa, Chordata, Mammalia, Chiroptera, Phyllostomidae.